Molecule: non-coding RNA, 1411 nt
Organism: Chrysemys picta bellii (western painted turtle)
Lineage: Eukaryota; Metazoa; Chordata; Testudines; Emydidae
Source: RefSeq, a predicted model, not a curated record
CCUUGACACCCACAUUUACCACAUGAAAGGGACUGUGGGUUUUUCAUUCAGACCAUCAGAAGCAUUAUCAGAGCCAUUAUUUAUUCUGCCAAGUGUAUGAGGUUCUUUUCCUGGAUUUUCUUAAUUAUUAGUUAAAAACAUAGCCUUGUUUAAACUCAGAAGAACAUCAGGGACUGUAAUGCUGAGUUCUUGCUGGACCAAUAAAAGCUGGGGUGUUUGAUGCUAUAUAAAUCUUGGGUUUUUAAUCCCUCCUUGGGAGAAAGUGAGAGAAAAACGCAAUAAAACCAGAAAAGGAGAUAUUGCUAAAAGAAACUAACCGAACAGCAAAAAAUGAAAAUGAAAACAGCCUUUAAAACAUGCAGUUCCCUAAAAAGUGGUAAGUUUUCACCAGGCUUUUAUUGGUUCAGGAUCCUCCAACUUUAUUCCCCAUCUUGUGGUGGGCAGCUUGUAUCUCAGUGGUCAGUAACGGUCAUUCAGAGUGUCAGUGCUUUGUCCCUUGUCCAGAAGGAAAGGAUGCAGUUUGCCUGCUUUCACUUUGAUCUGAAAGGGUUAUGGGACAUGACACAACACUGACACGUGCCGAACAGCGUCAGUCCCAAUGUUCAGAAUCGAAGUUAGUUCAAAGAAAACAUCAGGGAGAUGAACUUUGCAUCAUAUGGGUAACUUAUUUACAGAGCUGGCCCUCUGAUUUAUUUAUUUGUUUAUUUAGCAUCUGCAGUAACUCCAUAGCAAGGCAGUGUAGAAAGCCAUCAACUCCCAGUUGGAAGGAAUAUUGACUCUGUAUCUGUAUUUCAACUAUGCUACUUUGGGUGACGCCCCCUGCCAACGCUUCAGGAACAGCAAUGGAAAAGCCAGACAGGGUGGAUGGCCCAUCAGCAAGGACAAUGAGCUGUGAAUGAGCCAUACUGCCACUGACUCAUGGAUGCCUUGAUCCUACAAAGUCAGGUGGUCUUGUCGCCUGAUACGAAACAUUACCUGGGACUUAUUGUAACUUUCCACUGGAAGGGAAGGGAGGUCAAGUUUGGGAAACAAAGGAUUACCACCUUAUGUAAAUCCUAUUUAAGGGUGGGGAAGAAGGCACACAGGACUCCUCCUCUCCAUGGCCUGUCUGCCAAGAAGAAACACUGAAAAAGGAAAACUGAAGGUAAGGGAGGAGUCCAGACUGAGACAGGGGUCCAGUCUGAAAAGGAAUAUAACUGGAACUCUGAACCACAGAAACUUUGCAAACUGCCUGCAACGAUAUCUAGGGGGAGAAAUACUAUUUGUAACCAAUGUCUUUAGUGAAACUAGCUUAGUUUGCAUGUUUGAUUUCAUUUGCUUAGUAAUCUGCUUUGUUCUGUUUGUUAUCUCUUAUAAUCGCUUAAAAUCUGCCUUUUAUAGUUAAUAAAAAUUUGUUUUGUUUAUUAUUAAA